RNAcentral lists this ribosomal RNA (381 nucleotides) under uncultured Veillonellaceae bacterium. RNAcentral describes it as "bacterial SSU rRNA". It matches the Rfam family "Bacterial small subunit ribosomal RNA", at positions 8 to 387 of the family's 1533-position model. Lineage: Bacteria; Bacillati; Bacillota; Negativicutes; Veillonellales; Veillonellaceae. The record is from RNAcentral.
AGAGUUUGAUCAUGGCUCAGGAUGAACGCUGGCGGCGUGCUUAACACAUGCAAGUCGAACGAGAACCCGAUUUCGGUUGGGUGAAAGUGGCGAACGGGUGCGUAACACGUUGGUGACCUGCCCCGAAGUGGGGGACAACUCCUCGAAAGAGGAGCUAAUACCCCAGAUGUCUAGGUGGUUAGAGAGCAUAGACUAAGGUUUUUCGGAAUGCUUCGGGAGGGGCCUGCGGGCUAUCAGCUAGUUGGUGGGGUAAAGGCCUACCAAGGCGAAGACGGCUAGGGGGCGUGAGAGCGUGGUCCCCCACAAUGGAACUGAGACACGGUCCAUACUCCUACGGGAGGCAGCAGUGAGGAAUAUUGAGCAAUGGGCGCAAGCCCUGAC